AAACACGGACCAAGGAGUCUAACAAAUAUGCGAGUUUUUGAGUAGGACACUUAAAAGCGAAAUGAAAGUAACGCUAGGAAUGUAUUGCACUAGCAGCCGACUAUGUUCUCUGGACAAGGUUUGAGCGUGAGCAUAUUUGUUAGGACCCGAAAGAUGGUGAACUAUGCCUGAGUAAGGCGAAGCCAGGGGAAACUCUGGUGGAGGCUUGUAACGAUACUGACGUGCAAAUCGUUCGUCAAACUUGGGUAUAGGGGCGAAAGACUAAUCGAACCAUCUAGUAGC
Molecule: ribosomal RNA, 282 nt
Filed under: Porcellionides pruinosus
Lineage: Eukaryota; Metazoa; Arthropoda; Malacostraca; Isopoda; Porcellionidae
Description: partial 28S ribosomal RNA
Rfam family: Eukaryotic large subunit ribosomal RNA
Source: RNAcentral